RNAcentral lists this ribosomal RNA (432 nucleotides) under uncultured bacterium. RNAcentral's name for it is "partial 16S ribosomal RNA". It matches the Rfam family "Bacterial small subunit ribosomal RNA", at positions 29 to 506 of the family's 1533-position model. The record is from RNAcentral.
AACGAACGCUGGCGGCAUGCCUAACACAUGCAAGUCGAACGAGACCUUCGGGUCUAGUGGCGCACGGGUGCGUAACGCGUGGGAACCUGCCCUUAGGUUCGGAAUAACUCCCCGAAAGGGGUGCUAAUACCGGAUAAUGUCUUCGGACCAAAGAUUUAUCGCCUUUGGAUGGGCCCGCGUUGGAUUAGCUAGUUGGUAGGGUAAAAGCCUACCAAGGCGACGAUCCAUAGCUGGUCUGAGAGGAUGAUCAGCCACACUGGGACUGAGACACGGCCCAGACUCCUCCGGGAGGCGGCGGUGGGGAAUUUUGGACAAUGGGCAAAGGCCUGACCCAGCAAUGCCGGGGGAGUGAUGAAGGCCUUAGGUUUUUAAAGCUCUUUUACCCGGGAUGAUAAUGACAGUACCGGGAGAAUAAGCCCCGGCUACCCCCGU